This is a long non-coding RNA of Cucumis sativus (cucumber), 777 nucleotides long. RefSeq lists it as uncharacterized. The transcript has 3 exons. The record is from RefSeq and is a predicted model, not a curated record. Lineage: Eukaryota; Viridiplantae; Streptophyta; Magnoliopsida; Cucurbitales; Cucurbitaceae.
AUCACUUGAGAUCGUCCAUCAGAAGUGUUAACAUAGAUCUCUAUGCCGAUGAGGAUUUGGGCAACACACCUAUGAACGAAGAAGUGAAGGAGGAGAUUGUAGUUUACCUAUUCCAGUGAAGGGCAAGAUAGAGACUUUAAAUCAAGCAUUAGAUAUCUUUGGGAUGAAUGUGAUUGUGGAAGCAAGUUUUUUUGUUAUGACCAAGCAAAAAUAACAUCACAUAUCAAGGAUCGUGAUCUCCGAUCCAGAAAUUUUGCCAACCAGUUAGAAGCGGCUACCUUGGAACAAAUAGUUCUAAUUCCGUAUAAUACUGGGUAAAUAAAUAAGAUUAACACAUUAUUAUGUUUUUCAUUGAGGUUAAAUGUAUACUCACAUUGAAGAUGUUUAUUGUAGUUUUCAUUGGAUGUUGCAUGUCAUCAAUCUUCGAGAGAACUGUGUUUAUGUUUUGGACUCUCUUCAAAGUAAAGUUAACGAAGACAUCCAUGGAGUCAUAAAUGUGACUUAUGAUUUACUUCUUAUUUGACUUCAUUGUCUUCUAAUUCUAAUGUUUCCAAAUGUAUAGAGGAUUAAAAACAUGGCAAGCUAAGCAUGAUUUACAACAUUAUCGGUCAAAUCCGAAAUGGAAACCUAUAAAGGUAAUUUGCAUUGACACAUAAUUAUUUUCAAUGAAACAUAAGAAUAAUUUGUAUGUAAUUUAUAUACAUGCAGUGUCCUCGUCAAUUGGAUUCGGUUGGGUGUGGGUAUUAUGUCCAAAAGUAUAUACAUGAAAUCGUGCAU